RNAcentral lists this ribosomal RNA (464 nucleotides) under uncultured bacterium. RNAcentral describes it as "partial 16S ribosomal RNA". It matches the Rfam family "Bacterial small subunit ribosomal RNA", at positions 339 to 795 of the family's 1533-position model. The record is from RNAcentral.
CUACGGGCUGCUCCAGUGGGGAAUUUUGGACAAUGGGCGCAAGCCUGAUCCAGCCAUGCCGCGUGCGGGAAGAAGGCCUUCGGGUUGUAAACCGCUUUUGUCAGGGAAGAAACGCUCUGGGCUAAUACCCUGGGGUAAUGACGGUACCUGAAGAAUAAGCACCGGCUAACUACGUGCCAGCAGCCGCGGUAAUACGUAGGGUGCAAGCGUUAAUCGGAAUUACUGGGCGUAAAGCGUGCGCAGGCGGUUAUGCAAGACAGAUGUGAAAUCCCCGGGCUCAACCUGGGAACUGCAUUUGUGACUGCAUAGCUGGAGUGCGGCAGAGGGGGAUGGAAUUCCGCGUGUAGCAGUGAAAUGCGUAGAUAUGCGGAGGAACACCGAUGGCGAAGGCAAUCCCCUGGGCCUGCACUGACGCUCAUGCACGAAAGCGUGGGGAGCAAACAGGAUUAGAUACCCUUGUAGUC